Molecule: unclassified non-coding RNA, 2095 nt
Filed under: Hevea brasiliensis (rubber tree)
Lineage: Eukaryota; Viridiplantae; Streptophyta; Magnoliopsida; Malpighiales; Euphorbiaceae
Source: RNAcentral
AGAAUACUAAAGGUAGAUCUGAUUCUCUGCAAAACCCUACACAGAUCGAAGAGAGGAAAAACAAGAAUCAUGGCGGAGCACUUGGCCUCCAUAUUCGGAACGGAGAAGGACAGAGUGAACUGUCCUUUCUACUUUAAGAUCGGAGCCUGCAGGCAUGGCGAUCGCUGCUCUAGGCUUCACACUAAGCCCAGCAUCAGCCCUACUCUUCUCCUCUCCAAUAUGUACCAGCGCCCUGAUAUGCUCACUCCCGGCGUAGAUCCUUCAGCGCAAUCUCAGUCCCUUGACCCCCGCAAGACACAAGAUCACUUCGAAGAUUUCUAUCAGGAUCUUUUUGAGGAGCUCAGCAAAUAUGGAGAUAUCGAGAGCUUAAAUAUCUGUGAUAAUCUCGCUGAUCACAUGGUGGGUAAUGUUUAUGUUCAGUUCAGAGAAGAAGAGCACGCAGCGAAUGCCCUUAACAAUCUAAAUGGGAGGUUUUAUGCAGGGCGCCCAAUCAUUGUUGACUUCUCUCCUGUUACGGAUUUCCGCGAAGCUACAUGUAGGCAGUAUGAGGAAAAUGUAUGCAAUCGAGGUGGCUACUGCAACUUCAUGCAUCUGAAGAAGAUUAGCAGGGAGUUAAGGAGGCGCUUAUUUGGGAGGAAUAGGCGAAGACGUAGCCGCAGUAGAAGCCAUAGCCCUAGCAGGCACCGUGGUUAUGAAGAACGCUCUCACAAUAGCCGCAAUUCUGGUAGACGAGAUGAUGAUAGGGAUCAUCAACAUGAGAGGGGCAGGAGGCAUAGAAGCCGAAGUCCUGGACGCAGAGGAGGGCGAAGCAGAAGUCCUGCUGGAAGGAGGAAUAGAAGUCCUCCUGUUAGAGAGAGCAGUGUUGAAAGAAGGGCUAAGAUUGAGCAGUGGAACCGGGAGAGAGAACAGACAGAAUCUGGUAAUAGAGACAGCCAAAAUCUCAACAAUGACAGGAACAGCAAUGGUGAUGCAAAGAAUGGAGGUCAUUACGAUGAUCCUCGGUAGGAUCUCUGUGGAUGUAAAUGCUGACCCCCUGGAAUCUUCGGGUUUGUUUCUCAGCUACAUAUUGGAAUAUUAAAAGGCCUUCUAUUCUUAAACAUGAAGUGAUUGCAACUGUUCUUUUGAUGAGAUGGCCCAUCUAGAAAAUAUAGCUUACUGCCAUUUCCACUAUGCAGGUGGAGUACAGGUUCACUGUCAUGUGUUAUGAAAGUGAAUAACUUUUCCUUAUAACUGCUUGAUAGAUUAAAAGGAAGAGAUAUAAAAAAUAAUUUUAAUAAAAUGAGAAGGAAAUGGACCAAAAAAUGGGGGGAAAAGUCCAUAUUCCUUACAGGUUCAAAUCUUCUUUUUGUUCUGCAAGGUGUUUAGGGUUUUUUGGACCUUUAAAUGAAUUUUUUUCCCCUUCUAAAAUCUUCCAAACUAAAUCAGUUUUUGUUAUUUGUUUUCUUUUGAAAUCCCAAAAGAGGUGUUUAAAUAUUCUUUUGAUGAGAUGGUACUGUUUUUUUAACUCUUUGCAAUACCAUUUCCAACUAAAAGAACACAGGAGGAGGCUUUAUCUGCUCAGUUUACCUAUCUCCUUAUAGUCGAUUGCAGGCAGGCAUGGGUAAUUAAUUUUUACAGGGAUUUGGCAUGGCCUUCUGUUGUUACAAAUCAUUUUCCUUCAAAGCUUAUCUUACAUGCUUUAUGAGUUUUGCAGGUUCAGGCUUUCCUGCUUCUCAGGAUCAGCCUCAAUCUUUUAUUGCAGCUUACCAUGAUAUUUGUAUACAGGUUGGCUGUUUAUCUGCAGAGCGUGUUUGCAGGAUUCUAGUGUUGUGGAAGGAUUGAGAAAGUCCCUCGACCUUUUGUAAAAUCAAGAGAACAGCUAAUAUAAAAGGGGGAAACGCCUGACAUAAUACUUUGACAUACCAAGAUCCAACUACUGUUUAGACAUUAAGUUUGUGGAAUGUGAGCAGCAACUAUUUUUUUUUUUUCAGCUAUUAAAACAUCGUUGAGAUUUUUUGAUAUAUUUGUCUUUGGUUUGGCAUCAUGUGAAUGAGCUUGUGAGCUGUGACCAAAAGAAUACAUUUAAAAAAACCUUGCUUGCUUAGUCUUGAAUUGU